GAUGAACGCUGGCGGCGUGCCUAAUACAUGCAAGUCGAGCGAACAGACGAGGAGCUUGCUCCUCUGACGUUAGCGGCGGACGGGUGAGUAACACGUGGAUAACCUACCUAUAAGACUGGGAUAACUUCGGGAAACCGGAGCUAAUACCGGAUAAUAUAUUGAACCGCAUGGUUCAAUAGUGAAAGACGGUUUUGCUGUCACUUAUAGAUGGAUUCGCGCCGCAUUAGCUAGUUGGUAAGGUAACGGCUUACCAAGGCAACGAUGCGUAGCCGACCUGAGAGGGUGAUUGGCCACACUGGAACUGAGACACGGUCCAGACUCCUACGGGAGGCAGCAGUAGGGAAUCUUCCGCAAUGGGCGAAAGCUUGACGGAGCAACGCCGCGUGAGUGAUGAAGGUCUUCGGAUCGUAAAACUCUGUUAUUAGGGAAGAACAAAUGUGUAAGUAACUAUGCACGUCUUGACGGUACCUAAUCAGAAAGCCACGGCUAACUACGUG
This 497-nucleotide ribosomal RNA is filed under the name uncultured bacterium. Its description in RNAcentral is "partial 16S ribosomal RNA". It matches the Rfam family "Bacterial small subunit ribosomal RNA", at positions 28 to 507 of the family's 1533-position model. The record is from RNAcentral.